UUGAUCUGAGUGGGGCUGAGGGACAAUCCUGGUCCGCUCCACGCCGCAUCUCUCGACUCGGCACAGGCUUGGCACUGGCUCGGGAGAUUCUCUAGAACCCCGCAAGCGGCGGCAAUGACUGGAUCCCGCUGAGGCGGCGGCGGAGCUCGGAGGCGGCCCCAGCGCAGCUGCAGUCGAGUGGAUCAGAUCCCAUCCCCUGCUCACCCUGGUGCUGGCUCUGCUCCUGCUCUUGCUCCUGGCUUUGUUGGUGCCCUUGGCUGUUGUGUCAGGGGGAGGGCACAGAGAGACUCCAGUUACUCCAGUAACAGCUGACACUCCAGUGCUGCUGGCCUGUCCCCAUGACUGGGUCGGGCACCGCGGGAUCUGCUACUUCCUCUCGAGGGAUCAGCUCAGCUGGGAUCAGGCCCAGGCUCGGUGCUCUGAGCUCGGGGCCUCCCUGGCCGUGCUCCAGGACUGGGAAAUGGGGUUCCUCUUCCCUCACAGUGCCAGGGUCGAUUACUGGGUCGGGCUGCGCAGACGGGGCCGGGAGCUGCAGUGGGGGGAUGGCAGCAGCUUCAACUCCUCGGUUCCUGUCCUGGGCAAUGCAGGGUGUGUGUUCCUGGCUGAGGAUAAACUCAGGAGUGCUCCCUGCUCAAAUCCGAUGCCCUAUGUCUGCAGCAGACCCCAAACUCACCUUGGAUGAGAUGGGAUGGAGAAAGGACCUUCUACAUGCUGGGCACUCUCCGCUUCUCCUCUUCCCCACAGCACAGGGAUGUCCUUCCUCAGUCACAGCAUCUACCUUAGGGUCAUCUCAGUGCCUGCUCUCAGUGUCCCCUUGGUGCCUGUCAGCAAGUGAUGAACCUGUGGGAGGAGGAGACAAUGUGUAAGCUGCUGUGUGGUUGCCUGGGCUGGGGAUUUCUUUCUUCUCCUGGAACCAUCUCUGAGCUCAAGUGGUUUCUCUUGCACUUUGUGUUUCUACACUGAUUCUGUUUCUAUGUAUAGAUUCAUAUCCCUGUGCGUACAGCCCUGAAAGAUGUGCUGCCAUAGGAAUGGGACCUUGGUUAGGCUAAAUUGCCAAUAAUGCCAAGGUUGGGAUUUGAUUUCAUGGUCAGAGCUGGGCUGGAUCCUUGUGGGACCCUUCCAGCUCAGAGGAUUCUCUGAAAUGGCCUUGUGUGACCCCCAUCAGUGUUUGUGCUACCAAUGUUAC
Long non-coding RNA from Malurus melanocephalus (red-backed fairy wren), 1186 nucleotides. RefSeq lists it as uncharacterized. Lineage: Eukaryota; Metazoa; Chordata; Aves; Passeriformes; Maluridae. The record is from RefSeq and is a predicted model, not a curated record. The transcript is spliced from 5 exons.